AGAUUAAGUUAUUAAGGGCGCACGGUGGAUGCCUUGGCACUAGAAGCCGAUGAAGGACGUUACUAACGACGAUAUGCUUUGGGGAGCUGUAAGUAAGCUUUGAUCCAGAGAUUUCCGAAUGGGGAAACCCAGCAUGAGUUAUGUCAUGUUAUCGAUAUGUGAAUACAUAGCAUAUCAGAAGGCACACCCGGAGAACUGAAACAUCUUAGUACCCGGAGGAAGAGAAAGAAAAUUCGAUUCCCUUAGUAGCGGCGAGCGAAACGGGAAGAGCCCAAACCAACAAGCUUGCUUGUUGGGGUUGUAGGACACUCUAUACGGAGUUACAAAGGACGACAUUAGACGAAUCAUCUGGAAAGAUGAAUCAAAGAAGGUAAUAAUCCUGUAGUCGAAAAUGUUGUCUCUCUUGAGUGGAUCCUGAGUACGACGGAGCACGUGAAAUUCCGUCGGA
RNAcentral lists this ribosomal RNA (448 nucleotides) under Staphylococcus aureus. RNAcentral describes it as "bacterial LSU rRNA". It matches the Rfam family "Bacterial large subunit ribosomal RNA", at positions 1 to 441 of the family's 2925-position model. The record is from RNAcentral. Lineage: Bacteria; Bacillati; Bacillota; Bacilli; Caryophanales; Staphylococcaceae.